RNAcentral lists this ribosomal RNA (267 nucleotides) under Triticum aestivum (bread wheat). RNAcentral describes it as "partial small subunit ribosomal RNA". Lineage: Eukaryota; Viridiplantae; Streptophyta; Magnoliopsida; Poales; Poaceae. The record is from RNAcentral.
CACGUAUCAGAUAUUAAACUGAUAAGAACAGAUACUACACUUGAUCUUAGCCAAGAGGCCGAGAAAGGUAUGGUUUAAACCGUGGCCGUGUGUCCCCUUUUAUUGCACUACGAACCGCCUUCGCUCAAGUGCAAAGCGGUACGGGACUAUUCCACCGACGAGUCAAUUGCGUUCGUUUCUUUGCUCGGCCGAAGAGAUUCGCGGGGUAGCCUUGGCUCUGCGCCUGCUGCGCCUCCUACCGUUUGGGCUAUUCCAACAAGCCCGUGA